GAUGAACGCUAGCGGGAGGCCUAACACAUGCAAGCCGAGCGGUAUUUCUUCUUCGGGAGAGAGAGAGCGGCGUACGGGUGCGGAACACGUGUGCAACCUGCCUUUAUCUAGAGGAUAGCCUUUCGAAAGGAAGAUUAAUACUCUAUAAUAUAUUAAUUGGCAUCAAUUGAUAUUGAAAACUCCGGUGGAUAGAGAUGGGCACGCGCAAGAUUAGCUAGUUGGUGAGGUAACGGCUCACCAAGGCAAUGAUCUUUAGGGGGCCUGAGAGGGUGAUCCCCCACACUGGUACUGAGACACGGACCAGACUCCUACGGGAGGCAGCAGUAAGGAAUAUUGGUCAAUGGGUGCAAGCCUGAACCAGCCAUCCCGCGUGAAGGAUUAAGGUCCUAUGGAUUGUAAACUUCUUUUGUAUAGGGAUAAACCUACCCUCGUGAGGGUAGCUGAAGGUACUAUACGAAUAAGCACCGGCUAACUCCGUGCCAGCCGCCGUAAUAC
This 495-nucleotide ribosomal RNA is filed under the name uncultured bacterium. RNAcentral's name for it is "partial 16S ribosomal RNA". It matches the Rfam family "Bacterial small subunit ribosomal RNA", at positions 28 to 526 of the family's 1533-position model. The record is from RNAcentral.